GGAAGGGUGGCCGAGUGGUUUAAGGCGGCGGUCUCGAAAACCGCUGUGCGGGCAACCGUACCGUGGGUUCGAAUCCCACCCCUUCCGCCA
This 90-nucleotide transfer RNA is filed under the name Acidobacteriota bacterium. RNAcentral's name for it is "tRNA-Ser". It matches the Rfam family "tRNA". Rfam says of the family: Transfer RNA (tRNA) molecules are approximately 80 nucleotides in length. Their secondary structure includes four short double-helical elements and three loops (D, anti-codon, and T loops). The record is from RNAcentral. Lineage: Bacteria; Pseudomonadati; Acidobacteriota.